UAUCAGCUUGUUGGUGAGGUAAUGGCUCACCAAGGCGAAGACGGAUAGCUGGUCUGAGAGGAUGGUCAGCCACACUGGGACUGAGACACUGCCCAGACUCCUACGGGAGGCUGCAGUCGAGAAUCAUUCACAAUGCGCGAAAGCGUGAUGAUGCGACGCCGCGUGGAGGAUGAAGGCCUUCGGGUUGUAAACUCCUGUCAGCAGGGAUUAAAUGCAAUUUGGUCAACAGCCUUAUUGUUUGACUUUACCUGCAGAGGAAGCCACGGCUAACUUCGUGCCAGCAGCCGCGGUAAUACGAAGGUGGCGAGCGUUGUUCGGAUUUACUGGGCGUAAAGGGUGCGUAGGUGGUUUAGUAUGUCGGAUGUGAAAGCCCACGGCUCAACUGUGGAAUUGCAUUCGAAACUGCUAGACUAGAGUAUCGGAGAGGUAAGUGGAAUUCUUGGUGUAGCGGUGAAAUGCGUAGAUAUCAAGAGGAACACCGGUGGCGAAGGCGACUUACUGGACGAAUACUGACACUGAUGCACGAAAGCUGGGGUAGCGAAGAGGAUUAGAUACCCUCGUAGUCCCAGCCGUAAACGGUGUACACUUGGUGUAGGAGGAUUUAUCCCCUUCUGUGCCGGAGCUAAC
Molecule: ribosomal RNA, 627 nt
Filed under: uncultured Verrucomicrobiota bacterium
Lineage: Bacteria; Pseudomonadati; Verrucomicrobiota
Description: bacterial SSU rRNA
Rfam family: Bacterial small subunit ribosomal RNA
Source: RNAcentral